Molecule: ribosomal RNA, 460 nt
Filed under: uncultured bacterium
Lineage: Bacteria
Description: partial 16S ribosomal RNA
Rfam family: Bacterial small subunit ribosomal RNA
Source: RNAcentral
CCUACGGGAGGCAGCAGUGAGGAAUAUUGGUCAAUGGACGAGAGUCUGAACCAGCAAAGUAGCGUGAAGGAUGACUGCCCUAUGGGUUGUAAACUUCUUUUAUAUGGGAAUAAAAUGUUCCACGUGUGGGAUUUUGUAUGUACCAUAUGAAUAAGGAUCGGCUAACUCCGUGCCAGCAGCCGCGGUAAUACGGAGGAUCCGAGCGUUAUCCGGAUUUAUUGGGGUUAAAGGGAGCGUAGGUGGAUUGUUAAGUCAGUUGUGAAAGUUUGCGGCUCAACCGUAAAAUUGCAGUUGAAACUGGCAGUCUUGAGUACAGUAGAGGUGGGCGGAAUUCGUGGUGUAGCGGUGAAAUGCUUAGAGAUCACGAAGAACUCCGAUUGCGAAGGCAGUUCACUGGACUGCAACUGACACUGAGGCUCGAAAGUGUGGGUAUCAAACAGGAUUAGAUACCCGUGUAGUC